Molecule: RNA transcript, 1609 nt
Organism: Triticum aestivum (bread wheat)
Lineage: Eukaryota; Viridiplantae; Streptophyta; Magnoliopsida; Poales; Poaceae
Exons: 3
Source: RefSeq, a predicted model, not a curated record
CAGAAAAACCUCCAAUCAAUCGCGCGGAGCGCACCGCAGAAGCGCGCCCAAAACCCCAAUCUUGCCUCACCCUCACCUCGCCGCCGAUGGCCACGAUGACGGCCGUCCGCCGCGCCGCCCUCGCCUGCCGCGUCUCGAGCCGCCUCCUCUCCCACUCCUUCGCCUCCUCCGCCGCCACCCACUCGCGCCCCUCUUUAACCCUCCUCGGCCACUUCUAUCACCCCAUGUGCCCGCAGGACCCUCGCGCGUUCCAGCUGCCGCCGCCUGCCGCCCCGGCCUUCCAGCCCCUCACCGCCUCCUCGCCGCGCCUCUCCCUCGACUUCCUACCCGACAUCUUCGACUACACCCUCUACGACUCCCACCGCGGCCUCCUGCUCCUCCGCCGGAAGCUCCAGUUCGACACCCGCGACUUCCUCGUCUGCGACCCCGUCUCGCGCCGCCACGCGCUGCUCCCCCCGCCGCCCAUCACCUCCCUCAACGGCGGCGAGGUCCUCGGCUGCGCGCUCCUCUCCCGCGACCGCGACGCCCCCGCGGACCCCGACGGCGAGCUCCGGUUCGAGCUCCUCUUCGUUGCCCUCGACGUCGACCGCCCGCGCGCCUGGGUCGCGUCCUUCCGCGACGGCUGGUGCCGCUGGAACGCGCUGCCGCGGUCGCGCGGGGUCACCAUCGACUUCGACGCCAUGAGGUUCGAGCGCAUGUGCGUGCACGCCGCGGGGGGCAUGUACUGGCACAUCCUCAGCAGCCCCUCCGCGCUCGCGCUCGACGCCGCCACCAUGGAGUUCUCCUUCGUCCGGGCGCCGGAGAUGAUGUGGGGAGAGCUCGACGGGCACCACAAGUACCGCAUCGGCGAGGUGCCCGAGGACGGACGUUUGUGCGUGGCUUCGCUGGAGAGGCAGCAUGGCCUCCAGAUGUGCGUGCGUGGCAAUGGGGACAACGGCUGGGUGCUGGAGAGGCGCAUACCCAUGGGGGAGGUGCUCGACACCGUGCCGUCCCUGCCCAAGGACCCCAUGAGGCGGCACGCCAGGCUGUGGCUGGGCGACGUCGACCAUGGGCGAACCGGGAGGGUCUUCAUCAACACCCUGGGCUUCGGCAACUUCUCCUACGACAUGAACACCAAGAAGCUCGAAUAUUUGGCGGCCGAAGAAGAUGGCAUGACAUUUGGACACCCCGUGUUUGCCUACUUCUCGGCCCCAGACUGCUGCUCUGCCUCUGCGUGACCAUGGGUGUUCAUUGUGCCACUGGGAUAAUUUAGCUGCACAUUUUAGUGUAAAGGGUGGUGACUACGUACCGGUGAGUCUGGAGGCCUCGACACCUUUUUGUUCAAAGUCAGCUCGCAGGAAGCUUCUACAUACGUUCUUAUGAUGCAUGAGGCAGUGGCAAUGGAGUUUCUACUGUCUGCUACGUUAUGUAAGUGCAAUGGGACAACAUGAAUGGAGUCCUUAAAACAGCAGGUUGUGUGGUAAUCUCAUUCUCCUGUUGGUUUCAUGGAUGAGAAUCUCACAAACUCACGGUACCCUGAGAUUCGGUGAACCGUGUGGCGCAGAGGAAUGCUGAUGUUGUUCUUUCAACAUGUUAAUCUGUGUUCAAUGGCAACUUUUUGUUACUGUCA